GCUUACCCGCCGCUCCGGUUUCGCAUCCGGUUCGCCCGGUCCGCGUGGCUCCUCAGCCCCCGCCCCCUCCUCCCCUUUCCCACUACCUCCACUACCAGCACGGCAGCACCCCCGCCGCGGAGCCCAGCACCCGCUCGGUCACGGCGGCGCCCAGUUGCCCACCCAAUCCCGGCGCCCAGUCGCCGCUCCCUCCGCCAGACGCGCCCCCAAUACCGGCGGCCAGCUCGGAUUUCUAUGGCGGCGCCGCACUACCCUGCCAUCGGCGGCUUCCCGUCGACGACCGUCGGGUCAUCCCCGCCCCUUCCUCCCCCGUCGGCAGUGGCGGCCCCACCGCUAGUGCUCCCGACGGCGGCGUCGUGUUGGGAGACAUCCGAUUCGUGGGAGGAAGGAGCAGCAGGAGCCGGAUCCACGCCCAACCGCCCAGCUCCCAUCCGUACCACCCUGCUGGUCGCAGCUUCCUCCACCGCCGCCCGCCGCGCGAGACGACGAGGCAACCGCAGCCGCCCCUUUCCCCCACCGGCAGCGGCGGCUCCCACCGCCGGCGGUGGGAGCGGCGGCGUGGGGACGGGGUCGACGCCACUCCCCUCCUCCGACGGUGCUCCCUCAUCCCGACCCCGUUCUGAGAUCGAGGCGAGCCACGAGCAGCAGCCAUGAGCGAGGUGUUCGAGGGCUACGAUAGGCAAUACUGCGUGGCCGCGGCCUCCCUCUCCCUCGAUGGAGAGAAGAAGCAGAAGCUGUCCGAGAUCCAGUCCGACGUGGAGGAAGCUGAAUGGCUGGUAAAUAGAUGCAUCAACGCACUUUGUUCCAUAUGCACAUAUAGAUUUGUCUGCAAUUGAGAUUGAGUACACAUGCUGGAUGGAGGAUUGAGCUAGCAGGUCAGUCAAACAAUCACGAAUUCAGCUUUUCACAGCAUUUUUUAUAAGUAAUAAUCUAGUAGAAAGCUGGAUUAAUUCUUUUCUCGUGAAAGCACAUUGAGCCAGAUCUCAUUUGGUCUUGGAGCUCAAUGUAUCUGCACAUCUAUUUGGAUGCAUUGAUACUUGAAUCGAGACUGCACUAAGUUUUGGGUAAAUCUCAUGUGCCGGAUGCUUUUGACAAUAUCGACUGAGCAUUGAAUUGUGAUCUUGAUGUAACCAAGCCUUCCGCAUGCUCUGUCUCAUGUUCAUGUAGUUUGUACUGAUUAUACUGUGCCGAUUUUUUCCUUCUUGACAAUCAUUUUUAGUUGACAGUUUACUAAAAGAUCUCAAGCACGCUACCCAUGAUUCAGAGCAGAUAUUCCUAGUAUGAACAAAAGUGGUUCUUUUUAUUUUUAUUACUCCUUGCCCAUUCCAACCUCUGUACGAUAUUGCCAGCAUCAGUUUGUGUGUACUACCUCUAAUUAAAUCCACCUAUGAAUGGAAACGCUGCUGCAUACGCAUAUCCUUGUGGGAAUUGUUUUUUUUUUGCAGUAAAGGGUGGAGUACAUUGUUGAUCCCAUUUGCUUUGCUAACUGAACUAGCCUUUGGUUAGUUUUCUGAAAUCUUCCUGUUAGUUUAGAAAACUAAUGCUAGAGUAGAUAUAUUUCCAAGAGCAAUUUUCUUUUGAUUUUUGUUUACACAACUGAUUCAGUGCAUUGCAAGUUCUGACAAUUUCCCUGUAUAUAUGUUCUUGCAGUUUAGCUGCAGACUUUAGCCAUGGGGUAGUGUUUAUGGCAAUGCUUUUCGCGAACAAAGUAUUUCUUAUGCAGGACAUUCACUCCAUUAUCCUGCUCCCUGUACAGCAAAUAGGCACAUCGCUUCUGAUACAUUUUGGUCAAGUUCUAUGAAUGUCAAACAAAAAGACUCCAGCUUGAUAACAGCAAAGAAGCUUCUUCUGGUGACAUUACCAACACAGAUGUGCAGAGCAAGGAGAAGAAUGUUGGAAGGCCAUCACGGAAGUUGCCAAGUGAAACGACAUGGGAUCUGCAAAGGUUGCUGGUUGGAGAGGGAUCGCAGGCCUGCCAAAUAGUUGCAGAUAGCUAGGCAUCUCUUUCUGAAUUGUGUGCACUGGCAUAGCAGUAGCAGUAGCUCAUCAAUCAUGCAUGUAUUUUGUGCAGCAAGUUGGAUUCUAGGACUGCUUGCCGGAGAUUGCACGUGCUGGCGGUGUUGCUUGCUUGCUGGAGAUCGCCCGUUAUGAAGCCUGGAUUUGCUUCCUUGCUGGAGAUCGCGCGCGCAAGAGGAGCUGCUUGCUGGAGAGUGACAGACCACCGGUGGCAUGGCCGCCCAGUCGCAAGCAGUGAUCGAUGUAUAAAACUCUUGUUAGAGUGAUGGUUCAUGUCUUUCUGAGACUUCCAUUUGCAUGCCUGUGAUGUUAUCCUUUCUAAGCCUUGUGGUGUGAUGAUGUGUUCCAAAGUUGUGCCAAGGCCGGUGCACUCAGGUUGUUCCUUUUCUUCACUUGUAUGGCAAUCCUUGCUUGAUUCUAGAUUUAAGAUA
This is a long non-coding RNA of Panicum virgatum (switchgrass), 2447 nucleotides long. RefSeq lists it as uncharacterized. The record is from RefSeq and is a predicted model, not a curated record. Lineage: Eukaryota; Viridiplantae; Streptophyta; Magnoliopsida; Poales; Poaceae. The transcript is spliced from 4 exons.